UGACUGCAGAGAGGAUGACAGAGAACAGUGGACACACACUUUAACAUGAUGGACUAUAGGACAGGACUGCUGCUUUUAACUCUCUGCUGGGCAGGUGUUGAUGGUCAGACUCUGACAGAAUCUGAACCAGUGGUUAAAAGACCUGGAGAAUCCCACAGACUGACCUGUACAGGCUCUGGAUUCACAUUCAGCGACUAUGAGAUGGACUGGGUCAGACAGACUCCUGGAAAAGGACUGGAGUGGGUUGCCUGGCACGAUAGGUUUAGUAGUAUCACCAAAUACUACUCUCAGUCAGUCCAAGGCCGGUUUACCAUCUCCAGAGACAACAGCAGACAGCAGCUGUUUCUGCAGAUGAACAGUCUGAAGACUGAAGAUUCUGCUGUUUAUUAUUGUGCACGGCAGCCACAGAGUGACUGGGGUCGGUUGAGCAUCUGUACAAAAUCCCACAGUACUCUACUGGGCUGAUAGACUGCACAGUAUACUCUUACCUUUACUUCAUUUGAAAAUAUUUUUUCACAGAUUUUUAUGUAUGGAAUAAGUUUCAAAACUUUUUGAUAAAGUGAAGAUUUGUGAAAAGAAGGAAAAUACAAACAUAAAAACGCUCAAGAUCAUCGACAGUACUCAAUAGAGACAAUUAUAACCACACACACGCAUACUGACACACAAAAACACACACACAAUCUCAUAGCAAAACAAAAAUAUCACCACUCAGAUGUCAGCGUUUGAGUUUUUGAGUUUAAUUCAGAGAAGAGUGACAUGUUUUCCGCCGUAACGAAACUUCAUACACACAAGCCCUAAAUAAUGUCUAAAA
Non-coding RNA from Lates calcarifer (barramundi perch), 811 nucleotides. NCBI's taxonomy places the organism in Eukaryota, Metazoa, Chordata, Actinopteri, Centropomidae. The record is from the annotation of a RefSeq genome assembly.